AUUCUGUGAUGAGGGCACUUUCGUAAUAACUCUUUUUACCUUUCCCAUGCCUCACACAAGUACUCGUCAUCCAUUUGUUGGAAAGCAGUGAUCUCGUUCCUCAACUU
Molecule: small nucleolar RNA, 107 nt
Filed under: Gossypium hirsutum (cotton)
Lineage: Eukaryota; Viridiplantae; Streptophyta; Magnoliopsida; Malvales; Malvaceae
Description: Plant small nucleolar RNA R71
Rfam family: Plant small nucleolar RNA R71
About the family: R71 is a member of the C/D box family of snoRNAs containing the C (UGAUGA) and D (CUGA) box motifs. Multiple nearly identical copies of this snoRNA have been identified in Arabidopsis, and it is thought to function as a 2'-O-ribose methylation guide for 18S ribosomal RNA.
Source: Rfam by way of RNAcentral